UUAGAACGUCGUGAGACAGUUCGGUCCCUAUCUGCCGUGGGUGAAGGAGACUUGAGAGGAUCUGUCCCUAGUACGAGAGGACCGGGAUGGACGUACCUCUGGUGAACCGGUUGUCGCGCCAGCGGCAUGGCCGGGUAGCUAAGUACGGACGGGAUAACCGCUGAAAGCAUCUAAGCGGGAAACCCACCUCAAAACUAGGUCUCCCUGGGGGUCAAACCCCUACAGGGCCGUGCAAGACCAGCACGUCGAUAGGCCAGAUGUAUAAGCGCGGUAACGCGUUCAGCUAACUGGUCCUAAUCGCCCGAUCGGCUCCAUAUGACGCCA
Molecule: ribosomal RNA, 324 nt
Filed under: Acetobacteraceae bacterium
Lineage: Bacteria; Pseudomonadati; Pseudomonadota; Alphaproteobacteria; Acetobacterales; Acetobacteraceae
Description: partial 23S ribosomal RNA
Rfam family: Bacterial large subunit ribosomal RNA
Source: RNAcentral